AUACGGAGGAUGCAAGCGUUAUCCGGAUUUAUUGGGUUUAAAGGGUGCGUAGGCGGUUUGCUAAGCGGGAGGUGAAAUGCCGGCGCUCAACGUCGGAAGUGCCUCCCGAACUGGUGGACUGGAAUGACUCUGCCGUGGGAGGAAUGUGUAGUGUAGCGGUGAAAUGCUUAGAGAUUACACAGAACACCGAUUGCGAAGGCAUCUCACGAAGGGUUGAUUGACGCUGAGGCACGAAAGCGUGGGGAUCAAACAGGAUUAGAUACCCUGGUAGUCCACGCAGUAAACGAUGAUGGCUAACCGCUGGUUUAUUCGGAUCAGUGGCCGAGCGAAAGCGAUAAGCCAUCCACCUGGGGAGUACGACCGCAAGGUUGAAACUCAAAGGAAUUGACGGGG
RNAcentral lists this ribosomal RNA (393 nucleotides) under uncultured bacterium. RNAcentral describes it as "partial 16S ribosomal RNA". It matches the Rfam family "Bacterial small subunit ribosomal RNA", at positions 523 to 918 of the family's 1533-position model. The record is from RNAcentral.